Molecule: long non-coding RNA, 262 nt
Organism: Dioscorea cayenensis subsp. rotundata (Guinea yam)
Lineage: Eukaryota; Viridiplantae; Streptophyta; Magnoliopsida; Dioscoreales; Dioscoreaceae
Exons: 3
Source: RefSeq, a predicted model, not a curated record
AGAGAAUCGAUCCCUGGUUCCUAAGUGAGUCCAAAGAAGGAUUGAACCUACUUGGGAGAAUUGCGGGAAUUUCAUUUCAACCUCAAAGAGACUUAUCUCCAAGUGGACUCACAGCUCCCUCCAACUAUGAACCCAACACCGAUGUCACGGCAGCAUCGAUGGAGAGGUCGUUGGGGAUGCCUUUCAACUUACUUGGGCGCGGCACAUCAAAGUGAGGUAAAGGUUAGGGCGGAAACUUUCUUCUUAAGAAGAGUGAGUAGAG